Molecule: ribosomal RNA, 253 nt
Filed under: uncultured bacterium
Lineage: Bacteria
Description: partial 16S ribosomal RNA
Rfam family: Bacterial small subunit ribosomal RNA
Source: RNAcentral
UACGGGGGGGGCAAGCGUUGUUCGGAAUUACUGGGCGUAAAGGGCUCGUAGGUGGCCAACUAAGUCUGACGUGAAAUCCCUCGGCUUAACCGGGGAACUGCGUCCGAUACUGGUUGGCUUGAGUUUGGGAGAGGGAUGCGGAAUUCCAGGUGUAGCGGUGAAAUGCGUAGAUAUCUGGAGGAACACCGGUGGCGAAGGCGGCAUCCUGGACCAAUACUGACGCUGAGGAGCGAAAGCCAGGGGAGCAAACGGG